Arachis duranensis is the source of this 600-nucleotide long non-coding RNA. RefSeq lists it as uncharacterized. The transcript is spliced from 4 exons. NCBI's taxonomy places the organism in Eukaryota, Viridiplantae, Streptophyta, Magnoliopsida, Fabales, Fabaceae. The record is from RefSeq and is a predicted model, not a curated record.
CUUUCAAUGUGGAGCCACCACGCUCUGCACUGACAUGCUCGUACGUUACUCCUUCAAAUUUCUUUUACAAGAGGAACCAUGGCCCAAUUCCCAUCGUUGAAGAUAUUGAAUGGUACUCCGUUUUGGUGGAAAAUCCCAAACAGCUUUUCAUGAAAGAUAUCAGGAUAUUGCCCAAGUAAUGUCACUGCCACUUUACAGGGAAUGGAAAGAGCAAGGGAAAGCUCUAGUGCUUAAGAAGAACGUGUUCAAGUAUUGACCUUCAGAUUGCCAGGGAGUUGUGUUGUGUUGUUUCUGAAGGUAAGAGAAAUGAUUGUUGAAGGGGGUUAAAAGAUGGGGUCAUGCAUAUAAAAUCACGUGAUGCUGCUUUAGAUCAUAGCCUCCUACAUGUUAGUUCACGCAACUCAAUGGCAAGGUGUAACAGCCAACUAGUAUAUAUCUGUGAGAUGAAUUAUUAUGAAGUUGAAAGCUAUAGAUAAAUGGACUUAAGAGGCAUCUAUGCAAACUAAGUCUAAUGUUGCAUCAUGUUUCCCAUAAUUUGAGAAGUUCCACAUUAUGUUGCCCUUGAAAGGUGAAAUUUAUAUGAAUACUUUGUUUAACAAA